Long non-coding RNA from Rhododendron vialii, 899 nucleotides. RefSeq lists it as uncharacterized. The record is from RefSeq and is a predicted model, not a curated record. The transcript is spliced from 3 exons. NCBI's taxonomy places the organism in Eukaryota, Viridiplantae, Streptophyta, Magnoliopsida, Ericales, Ericaceae.
UGGUUAGCUAUACCCAAUUUUUUUUAAACUAAUGUUUCCAUUAUUUAAUUUCUCAUUACAUCGUUCUCACUGGUUAAUUGGCCAGAGAAGUCAACUUAUGAAGAUACCGACGUCUAACAUUAUUUUUAUUAGCUUUGUUUUUCAAAACUAGCUAGUGGCAUUAUUUUUAAUGUGGUGAUUCAGUUGUAAUUAUCGCCAUGUUUCCAUUCACUUCAAUCCCUUCAAUUAAGCACAACGACACUCAGUCGCAAAGCUCCCUCCUUUGAUCUGUUUUCCUCUCUCUCAGCAAAACCUUCCCAACAAACAUCAAACACUGCCAUUCAAACAUGUAGUUUCCUAUUCUUAUGCGGCUCAUAGCUUUGACUACACUGGGCUUGCGACAAAAGGUGUGUGGUGAAGCAGAGACGUUACCAGCUGAGACAUCUUAGCUUAAUUGGUUGGUGAUCUAGAACGAGUUUCCUAUUCUUAUUCGGCCCAUAGCUUUGCCUUCAUUCGGCUUGCGACAAAAGGUGUGUGGUGAACCAGAGGCGUUAUAUACCAGCUGAGACAUCUUAGCUUGGUUGGUGACCAAGAACGAGAACUAGUGGGCAUUAUGAUCAUCAAGUGCGGUGACGAAAUAUAAAAUUUUGUUUACAACUUCUCAUUCAACGAUCAUCUCACUCUCUGCCAUUCAAAACUCGAGUUUCCUAUUCAUUUUAUGCUUGCGACAAGAGGUGCGUAGUGCACCGGAGGUCUAGAGUACUAAGACAUCCUAGCUUGGUCGGACAACUGGGAAAAGGUAUGCCUUCAACGCAGUCUCGGUUUCAUUUGAUUUUACAUACAUGGUUAUAAAUAACUCUUUGUUUUAUACAAGUGCGUGCCCCCUAAACAGAAAAGGAAAAAGAAGGUAAACAAUGGUA